This 301-nucleotide ribosomal RNA is filed under the name uncultured bacterium. RNAcentral describes it as "partial 16S ribosomal RNA". It matches the Rfam family "Bacterial small subunit ribosomal RNA", at positions 509 to 809 of the family's 1533-position model. The record is from RNAcentral.
CAGCAGCCGCGGGAAUACGAGGGGGGCAAGCGUUGUUCGGAAUUAUUGGGCGUAAAGGGUGCGUAGGCGGCUUGACAAGUCUUGUGUGAAAUCUAUGGGCUCAACCCAUAGUCUGCACGGGAAACUGUCGGGCUUGAGAAUGGGAGAGGUGAGUGGAAUUUCCGGUGUAGCGGUGAAAUGCGUAGAUAUCGGAAGGAACACCUGUGGCGAAAGCGGCUCACUGGACCAUUUCUGACGCUGAUGCACGAAAGCUAGGGGAGCAAACAGGAUUAGAUACCCCAGUAGUCCCUGUCUCUUAUAA